Molecule: long non-coding RNA, 215 nt
Filed under: Pelobates cultripes (western spadefoot toad)
Lineage: Eukaryota; Metazoa; Chordata; Amphibia; Anura; Pelobatidae
Source: RNAcentral
AACCAAGGCAAUUCCCAAUGGAGAAGGAAUCCUCAGGGAAAUAGGAGAUAUGGAAACAGAAAUAACCAAUCUGCUUCCAAUAACUCCCAACAGUCUCAGCCAUCCCAACCAAAUUCUAAUGGGCAAAGACAAAACGGCAAUGGAGGAAAUAAUUUGCGUCGUCAGGUUGGUCAAUUGACUGACCAGAUGGGCAAAUUAAUGGAGGAAAUGACAAA